RNAcentral lists this ribosomal RNA (253 nucleotides) under uncultured bacterium. RNAcentral describes it as "partial 16S ribosomal RNA". It matches the Rfam family "Bacterial small subunit ribosomal RNA", at positions 524 to 776 of the family's 1533-position model. The record is from RNAcentral.
UACGUAGGGGGCAAGCGUUGUCCGGAAUCAUUGGGCGUAAAGAGCGUGUAGGCGGCCCGGUAAGUCCGCUGUGAAAGUCCAGGGCUCAACCCUGGAAUGCCGGUGGAAACUGUCGGGCUAGAGUCCGGAAGAGGCGAGUGGAAUUCCUGGUGUAGCGGUGAAAUGCGCAGAUAUCAGGAAGAACACCCGUGGCUAAGGCGGCUCUCUAGUACGGUACUGACGCUGAGACGCGAAAGCGUGGGGAGCGAACAGG